Molecule: long non-coding RNA, 985 nt
Organism: Platichthys flesus (European flounder)
Lineage: Eukaryota; Metazoa; Chordata; Actinopteri; Pleuronectiformes; Pleuronectidae
Exons: 4
Source: RefSeq, a predicted model, not a curated record
GAAGAACCGGAGAACGGUUGGCGAGUCUGGAUGAGAGGACGGCGGCGGAGUCACUGUGGACGUUGUUCGCUCAGCAGGUUAGAGUGUGGGACGCUCGCAAAGCUUUUUUCCCCCGUCCGUCGUGUCUUUUCCUGUGUGAACUCUGCCGCUCUCAACAGCAGCACUGGCUAUGAGCUAGCUCCUGCUAGCUCCAACAACCAUCUCUCAACUGCUACAAGGUCCAACUUGACACACAACUUGAAUCCAACCAGACUGAACACUGACUCCAGGGACAGACGAGCCUGAAGGACACAGCUGUGAUGACCAUGUUCUGUCUCUUAUGGCAAAGCAGAAAUAUAAAACACUGGGUUCUUAUCUAAAGUGUAUCAAAUCAGAUCUCCACCAUGUUGCUGCUGAGGACAUCAGUUGUCUUCCAGUUGACCAGCAUGAAGCUGCAGAUCUCCACCAUGUUGCUGCUGGGGACAUCAGGAGCUGCAUUAAUGAGGAGCAGAAGCGUACUGUUAUGAAUGUUUUGUGUUGUUUAUGAAGCACUACUUAUUUCAGCUAGAACCGAUGUACUAGGGUCUGGGUUUGUAUCCUAAUGGUUAAAUGCACAUACUUUAAAUCGCUUUUGAUAAAACGUGACAAAGAAAUACAACAUUGUACACAUAGAUAAAAUGUCUUUCUACCUCAUCUGUAAUAUUCAAGGUGAUGAUCUCCCACAGAGCUGUUGAUAACAGUCCACAUCAAGUCUCUCCACUUCCCUCAGUGUGAAAACAUAAUUAUAUAAUUAAUUGGAGAAGUGUUUACAACACUGAUGUGUGGACAUUAUAAUGUUAUCACUACUGUCUAAUUCACUCUACAACUCCAUGACAGACUAAAUAAACAAUGUGAAAAUAGUAAUGGCGGAUAUACCAUCCUGUAUCAGAAUAUUGGUGAAACAGUUACUAUCACAUGAAACGUACACGUGUAGCGUAUUGAUAGUAACUCAUUAAAAAAAAUAAUG